RNAcentral lists this unclassified non-coding RNA (220 nucleotides) under plant metagenome. RNAcentral describes it as "partial contains small subunit ribosomal RNA and internal transcribed spacer 1". The record is from RNAcentral.
AAGUCGGUAACAAGGUCUCCGUAGGUGAACCUGCGGAGGGGAUCAUUAACAGGAGCUCAUGCCUAACGGGUCAGAUCUCCACCCGUAUGUUAUCAUUACCAUGUUGCUUUGGCGGGCCGUCAGGCUCACGCUCGGCUACCGGCUCCGGCUGGUAAGCGCCCGCCAGAGGACCUCAAACCCUGAAUACUCGUGUCGUCUGAGUAUCAUAUAAUAGUUAAAA